GCAAGUCGAGCGAACGGACGAGAAGCUUGCUUCUCUGAUGUUAGCGGCGGACGGGUGAGUAACACGUGGAUAACCUACCUAUAAGACUGGGAUAACUUCGGGAAACCGGAGCUAAUACCGGAUGAUAUUUUGAACCGCAUGGUUCAAAAGUGAAAGACGGUCUUGCUGUCACUUAUAGAUGGAUCCGCGCUGCAUUAGCUAGUUGGUAAGGUAACGGCUUACCAAGGCAAUGAUGCAUAGCCGACCUGAGAGGGUGAUCGGCCACACUGGAACUGAGACACGGUCCAGACUCCUACGGGAGGCAGCAGUAGGGAAUCUUCCGCAAUGGGCGAAAGCCUGACGGAGCAACGCCGCGUGAGUGAUGAAGGUCUUCGGAUCGUAAAACUCUGUCAUUAGGGAAGAACAUAUGUGUAAGUAACUGUGCACAUCCUGACGGUACCUAAUCAGAAAGCCACGGCUAACUACGUGCCAGCAGCCGCGGUAAUACGUAGGUGGCAAGCGUUAUCCGGAAUUAUUGGGCGUAAAGCGCGCGUAGGCGGUUUUUUAAGUCUGAUGUGAAAGCCCACGGCUCAACCGUGGAGGGUCAUUGGAAACUGGAAAACUUGAGUGCAGAAGAGGAAAGUGGAAUUCCAUGUGUAGCGGUGAAAUGCGCAGAGAUAUGGAGGAACACCAGUGGCGAAGGCGACUU
Molecule: ribosomal RNA, 688 nt
Filed under: uncultured Staphylococcus sp.
Lineage: Bacteria; Bacillati; Bacillota; Bacilli; Caryophanales; Staphylococcaceae
Description: bacterial SSU rRNA
Rfam family: Bacterial small subunit ribosomal RNA
Source: RNAcentral